UACGAAGGGGGCUAGCGUUGCUCGGAAUUACUGGGCGUAAAGGGCGCGUAGGCGGAUAUUUAAGUUGGGGGUGAAAUCCCGGGGCUCAACCUCGGAAUUGCCUUCAAAACUGGAUAUCUUGAGUUCGGGAGAGGUGAGUGGAACUCCGAGUGUAGAGGUGAAAUUCGUAGAUAUUCGGAAGAACACCAGUGGCGAAGGCGACUCACUGGCCCGAUACUGACGCUGAGGCGCGAAGGCCAGGGGAGCAAACGGG
This 253-nucleotide ribosomal RNA is filed under the name uncultured bacterium. Its description in RNAcentral is "partial 16S ribosomal RNA". It matches the Rfam family "Bacterial small subunit ribosomal RNA", at positions 524 to 776 of the family's 1533-position model. The record is from RNAcentral.